Molecule: long non-coding RNA, 294 nt
Filed under: Mytilus galloprovincialis (Mediterranean mussel)
Lineage: Eukaryota; Metazoa; Mollusca; Bivalvia; Mytilida; Mytilidae
Source: RNAcentral
GCUACAUCUCCUUAUUUAUUACCGAAUUUUUGAAUGUUAUUCAAAUUCAUUUCUUGCACAAAGCUGAGUGCAUGAGGUGUGAUGUGAUUCACUAUCCGGCUUUACUCGGAAUAAAAUAUACACAUACAUAGGGUUAAUUUAAGAGAUUUAAACAUAGAUUAAUUACUGUCGCUCUUAUUUAAUCGUUGAGAAAAGUUUUUUAUAUGUUCUUUUUCAAUGUCACUCUUUUUAAGAAGUUUAUCAGGUACAUUGAACGUCAUAAACUAUUGUUGUACAUAAAAUAAGUAAACCGCA